This 471-nucleotide ribosomal RNA is filed under the name uncultured Nitrosospira sp. RNAcentral describes it as "bacterial SSU rRNA". It matches the Rfam family "Bacterial small subunit ribosomal RNA", at positions 195 to 647 of the family's 1533-position model. The record is from RNAcentral. Lineage: Bacteria; Pseudomonadati; Pseudomonadota; Betaproteobacteria; Nitrosomonadales; Nitrosomonadaceae.
AUUGGAGAAAAGCAGGGGAUCGCAAGACCUUGCGCUUUUGGAGCGGCCGAUGUCUGAUUAGCUAGUUGCUGAGGUAAAGGCUUACCAAGGCUUCGAUCAUUAGCUGGUCUGAGAGGACGACCAGCCACACUGGGACUGAGACACGGCCCAGACUCCUACGGGAGGCAGCAGUGGGGAAUUUUGGACAAUGGGGGAAACCCUGAUCCAGCCAUGCCGCGUGAGUGAAGAAGGCCUUCGGGUUGUAAAGCUCUUUCAGCCGGAACGAAAAGGUCACGGCUAAUACCCGUGACAAAUGACGGUACCGGAAGAAGAAGCACCGGCUAACUACGUGCCAGCAGCCGCGGUAAUACGUAGGGUGCAAGCGUUAAUCGGAAUUACUGGGCGUAAAGCGUGCGCAGGCGGUUUUGUAAGUCAGAUGUGGAAUCCCCGGGCUUAACCUGGGAACUGCGUUCGAAACUACAAGGCUAGAAU